This is a long non-coding RNA of Gopherus flavomarginatus (Mexican gopher tortoise), 1476 nucleotides long. RefSeq lists it as uncharacterized. The record is from RefSeq and is a predicted model, not a curated record. The transcript has 2 exons. NCBI's taxonomy places the organism in Eukaryota, Metazoa, Chordata, Testudines, Testudinidae.
GGAGGGAAGGGGGAGAGAAAGGUUAAUUUUCUUUCUGUGUUAGGAUUACUUUCUCUCUCAGGGAGAGUCUGGGAGGGGGGUUGAGAAGGAGGGGGGAAGGUGAAUUUUCCUCUCUGUUUAAGAUUCAAGGAGUUUGAAUCACAGUGAUCUUCCAGGGUAACCCAGCGAGGGGAAGCCUGGGAGAGGCAACGGUGAGGGAAAGGGUUUACUUUCCUUGUGUUAAGAUCCAGAGGGACUGGGUCUUGGGGGUCCCCGGGCAAGGUUUUGGGGGGACCAGAGUGUACCAGGCACUGGAAUUCCUGGUUGGUGGCAGCGCUACAAGUACUGAGCUGGUAAUUGAGCUUAGAGGAAUUCAUGCUGGUACCCCAUCUUUUGGACGCUAAGGUUCAGAGUGGGGAAUUAUACCAUGACAGUAUCUAUCAGCACUCAAAGCAGUCCAGCCAGCUGCAGCAUGCAGGGACCUUGGCAGACACUUUAGCACACUCCCCAUCCAUCAGCUUUUAAAAAUUAAAUUAAUACACCACAAGGCAGCAAAGCAAGAGCAGAGGAGAGAGAGAGUCUGUAGUGCAGUAGAGGCUCAAGGCAAUCUGAUUAUCUAUUGCUACCCAGUGCAGGAAACAAGCUGACAGACACACUUGACCUAGCAGAAUAACAACUCCCAUGGUCGAUUGCUUGUCCUGGUCACCCUCAUGCUAACCCCAGGUAACUCACCCAAGUUUCAGUUUAAGUGGUUACAUUUGUCCCUUUAAAGUUCCCCUCCCAGUUUCAACUGGAUACAGAGUUGUUCUCCACUUUGAAUCCUACACUCCUGCAAUGUUGCUAUGUGCUGUUAAACAGCCACUGUGUUCCACCCCAGAAGUAGCUGCAAUUCAUUGGUGGAUUAAGUCAUUCUAGCUUGGGACUCUCGGGAAUGAAAGGCACUAGGAAAAACUUCAGUGGAUUUAUCUAAGGACUUGUCUACUUUGAAAGUGGGCUAAGCUAAACAGGAACAAGACAUUCUUAUUCUGGGAUAAAAGUAUCCAGACAUGGGGUUAUUCCAGAAUAGCUGUUCCCAAACAAUUCAUGUGCGGACAAACCCAAGUACCUCAUGGACCGACACAGGCCAAAGCAUCAAGGGAGACAUAUUGUGCCUGCCUCUCCAAAACCAAACGUGGGUGUGUGAAAGCUGGCUGACCCCCCUUAAUAGAUUACAAGGGGCCAGUAGCUGGGAGGGGUGAGUACUGCUCAUGGACACAGUAGCCUGAACUUUUUCACUAUCUCUUUUCCUCUGCCUCAAAGCAGGAAGAUCCUGCUCCAAACCAGUCAGUACUACCCAGAUAAGGGGAACAUGAAAUUUUACACUUACCAAUCAAGUAUUAACACGCAAGGGUCUUUGUCUGAAUGUGUAUAAAAGGUUUGUGAAAUUUGUGUAAGACAGAGUCUUUUGUACCAAGGUACAGGCUCUCCUUUUUCUGCAGAAUAAAGCAUUUUUCCUUA